AGUGAACGCUGGCGGUAGGCCUAACACAUGCCAGUCGAACGGCAGCACAGUAAGAGCUUGCUCUUACGGGUGGCGAGUGGCGGACGGGUGAGGAAUACAUCGGAAUCUACUUUUUCGUGGGGGAUAACGUAGGGAAACUUACGCUAAUACCGCAUACGACCUACGGGUGAAAGCAGGGGAUCUUCGGACCUUGCGCGAUUGAAUGAGCCGAUGUCGGAUUAGCUAGUUGGCGGGGUAAAGGCCCACCAAGGCGACGAUCCGUAGCUGGUCUGAGAGGAUGAUCAGCCACACUGGAACUGAGACACGGUCCAGACUCCUACGGGAGGCAGCAGUGGGGAAUAUUGGACAAUGGGCGCAAGCCUGAUCCAGCCAUACCGCGUGGGUGAAGAAGGCCUUCGGGUUGUAAAGCCCUUUUGUUGGGAAAGAACAGCAGCAGGUUAAUACCCCGCUGUUCUGACGGUACCCAAAGAAUAAGCAUCGGCUAACUUCGUG
This 492-nucleotide ribosomal RNA is filed under the name uncultured bacterium. RNAcentral's name for it is "partial 16S ribosomal RNA". It matches the Rfam family "Bacterial small subunit ribosomal RNA", at positions 29 to 507 of the family's 1533-position model. The record is from RNAcentral.